CCUACGGGUGGCUGCAGUGAGGAAUAUUGGUCAAUGGACGAGAGUCUGAACCAGCCAAGUAGCGUGAAGGAUGACUGCCCUAUGGGUUGUAAACUUCUUUUAUAUGGGAAUAAAACGUUCCACGUGUGGGAUUUUGUAUGUACCAUAUGAAUAAGGAUCGGCUAACUCCGUGCCAGCAGCCGCGGUAAUACGGAGGAUCCGGGCGUUAUCCGGUUUUAUUGGGUUUAAAGGGAGCGUCGGUGGAUUGUUAAGUCAGUUGUGAAAGUUUGCGGCUCAACCGUAAAAUUGCAGUUGAAACUGGCAGUCUUGAGUACAGUAGAGGUGGGCGGAAUUCGUGGUGUAGCGGUGAAAUGCUUAGAUAUCACGAAGAACUCCGAUUGCGAAGGCAGUUCACUGGACUGCAACUGACACUGAGGCUCGAAAGUGUGGGUAUCAAACAGGAUUAGAUACCCGGGUAGUC
This 460-nucleotide ribosomal RNA is filed under the name uncultured bacterium. RNAcentral's name for it is "partial 16S ribosomal RNA". It matches the Rfam family "Bacterial small subunit ribosomal RNA", at positions 338 to 795 of the family's 1533-position model. The record is from RNAcentral.